UAGAGUUUGAUCCUGGCUCAGGAUGAACGCUAGCUACAGGCUUAACACAUGCAAGUCGAGGGGCAGCAUGACGGUAGCUUGCUAUCGUUGAUGGCGACCGGCGCACGGGUGAGUAACGCGUAUCCAACCUUCCCAUGACACCGGUUCAGCCCGCCGAAAGGCGGAUUACUCCCGGAUGGUUUCCGAAGAGGGCAUCUGAUUUGGAAUAAAGAUUGAUCGGUCAUGGAUGGGGAUGCGUCUGAUUAGGCAGCAGGCGGGGUAACGGCCCACCUGGCCUACGAUCAGUAGGGGUUCUGAGAGGAAGGUCCCCCACACUGGAACUGAGACACGGUCCAGACUCCUACGGGAGGCAGCAGUGAGGAAUAUUGGUCAAUGGGCGAGAGCCUGAACCAGCCAAGUAGCGUGCAGGAUGACGGCCCUAUGGGUUGUAAACUGCUUUUAUAUGAGGAUAAAGUUCGUUACGUGUAACGUUUUGCAGGUAUCAUAUGAAUAAGGACCGGCUAAUUCCGUGCCAGCAGCCGCGGUAAUACGGAAGGUCCGGGCGUUAUCCGGAUUUAUUGGGUUUAAAGGGAGCGCAGACGGUCAGUUAAGCGUGCAGUUAAAUGAUGUGGCUCAACCAUGUUAUGCUGCGCGAACUGGCUGACUUGAGUUCACGGAACGUGGGCGGAAUUUGUGGUGUAGCGGUGAAAUGCUUAGAUAUCACGAAGAACUCCGAUUGCGAAGGCAGCCCGCGGCAGUGUUACUGACGUUCAUGCUCGAAGGUGCGGGUAUCGAACAGGAUUAGAUACCCUGGUAGUCCGCACGGUAAACGAUGGAUGCUCGCUGUCGGCAAUAAUUGUCGGCGGCUAUUGAAAGCAUUAAGCAUCCCACCUGGGGAGACCCCCGCAACGGUGAAACUCAAAGGAAUUGACGGGCGGCCCCCCCAACCGAAGAAAAUGUGGGUUAAUUCAAUGAUCCCCCAAGAAC
RNAcentral lists this ribosomal RNA (966 nucleotides) under uncultured bacterium. RNAcentral describes it as "bacterial SSU rRNA". It matches the Rfam family "Bacterial small subunit ribosomal RNA", at positions 1 to 969 of the family's 1533-position model. The record is from RNAcentral.